This 433-nucleotide ribosomal RNA is filed under the name uncultured bacterium. RNAcentral's name for it is "partial 16S ribosomal RNA". It matches the Rfam family "Bacterial small subunit ribosomal RNA", at positions 29 to 507 of the family's 1533-position model. The record is from RNAcentral.
AACGAACGCUGGCGGCAUGCCUAACACAUGCAAGUCGAACGAGACCUUCGGGUCUAGUGGCGCACGGGUGCGUAACGCGUGGGAACCUGCCCUUAGGUUCGGAAUAACUCCCCGAAAGGGGUGCUAAUACCGGAUAAUGUCUUCGGACCAAAGAUUUAUCGCCUUUGGAUGGGCCCGCGUUGGAUUAGCUAGUUGGUAGGGUAAAAGCCUACCAAGGCGACGAUCCAUAGCUGGUCUGAGAGGAUGAUCAGCCACACUGGGACUGAGACACGGCCCAGACUCCUGCGGGAGGCAGCAGUGGGGAAUAUUGGACAAUGGGCGAAAGCAUGAUCCAGCAAUGCCGCGUGAGUGAUGAAGGCCUGAGGGUUGUAAAGCUCUUUUACCCGGGAUGAUAAUGACAGUACCGGGAGAAUAAGCUCCGGCUAACUCCGUG